CGGUAAUUCCAGCUCCAAUAGCGUAUACUAAAGUUGUUGCAGUUAAAAAGCUCGUAGUUGGAUUUCUGCGGGGACGGAGCGGCCGGACGCGACUUGCGUCUAGAGCUAGCGCUUUCCCCGCAUCCUGCCGCGAACCGUGCUACCAUUAGUUUGGUGGCGCUGGGGAUCGGCUCGAUUACUUUGAGAAAAAUAGAGUGUUCAAAGCAGGCCACACGCCUUGAAUAAGUUAGCAUGGAAUAAUGACUAAGGACUUUGGUUCUUUUCGUUGGUGUUCGGGACUGAAGUAAUGAUUGAUAGGGACAGUUGGGGCGGUCCGUAUUCCAAAGCGAGAGGUGAAAUUCUUAGACCUUCGGAAGACAAACAGCUGCGAAAGCGUUCCGCAAGGAUGUUCCCUUUGAUCAAGAACGAAAGUUGGGGGAUCGAAGACGAUCAGAUACCGUCGUAGUCUCAACUAUAAACUAUACCAGCUAGGGAUCGGCCAACGUUUAAUUAUUCGACUUGGUCGGCACCUUAUGAGAAAUCAAAGCAUCUGGGUUCCGGGGGGAGUAUGGUCGCAAGGCUGAAACUUAAAGGAAUUGACGGAAGGGCACCACCAGCCGUGGAGCCUGUGGCUUAAUUUGACUCAACACGGGAAAACUUACCAGGUCCAGACAUAGGAAGGAUUGACAGAUUGAUAGCUCUUUCUUGAUUCUGUGGGUGGUGGUGCAUGGCCGUUUUUAGUUGGUGGAGUGAUUUGUCUGCUUAAUUGCGUUAACGAACGAGACCCCAGCCUGCUAAAUAGCGCGGCCGAGCUUUGCUCGGUGCGAGCUUCUUAGAGGGACCAUGAUGCGCGAUAGCACAAGGAAGUUUGGGGCAACAACAGGUCUGUGAUGCCCUUAGAUGUUCUGGGCCGCACACGGGCUACACUGGCGCCUGCAACGAGCAUAUCAGCUGGCCCGAGAGGGUCUUGGCUAAUCUUUUGAACCGGCGCCGUGCUUGGGAUUGACCUUUGCAAUUGUUGGUCAUGCAACGAGGAAUGCCUUGUAAACGCGAGUCAUCAGCUCGCAUUGAAUACGUCCCUGCUCUUUGUACACACCGCCC
RNAcentral lists this ribosomal RNA (1080 nucleotides) under uncultured Rhizaria. Its description in RNAcentral is "SSU rRNA". It matches the Rfam family "Eukaryotic small subunit ribosomal RNA", at positions 577 to 1674 of the family's 1831-position model. The record is from RNAcentral.